Molecule: long non-coding RNA, 4127 nt
Filed under: Mus musculus (house mouse)
Lineage: Eukaryota; Metazoa; Chordata; Mammalia; Rodentia; Muridae
Description: long non-coding RNA chr14:73607250-73611377
Source: RNAcentral
GUUACAGAGACAAAGUUUGGAGCUAAGACGAAAGGAUGGACCAUCCAGAGACUACCCCACUGGGGGAUCCAUACCAUAAUCAGCCACCAAACCCAGACACUAUUGCAUAUACCUGCAAGAUUUUGCUGAAAGGACUCUGAUAUAGCUGUCUUGUGUGAGGCUAUGCCAGUGCCUGGCAAAUACAGAAAUGGAUGCUCACAGGGCCCCCAAUGGAGGAGCUAGAAAAAGUACCCAAGGAGCUGAAGGGGUCUGCAACCCUAUAGGUGGAACAACAAUAUGAACUAACCAGUACCCCCAGAGUUCGUGUCUCUAGCUGCAUAUGUAGCAGAAGAUGGCCUAGUUGGCCAUCAUCGGAAGAGAGGCCCCCUGGUCUUGCAAACUUUAUAUGCCCCAGUACAGGGGAACGCCAGGGCCAAGAAGUGGGAGUGAGUGGGUAGAGGAGCAGGGUGGGGGAGGGUAUAGGGAACUUUAGGGAUAGCAUUUGAAAUGUAAAUAAAAUAUCUAAUAAAAAAUGUGGCAUCUUGGCUUUGGUUGAGUGUCUUCAAACAUCACUUCUCAGAACCCCUUUUAGUACAGGCAUGGGAACACUCCACCCACUUGAAAGCGCUCUUUGCACUCACUGUUGAAAUAUGAACCUACAGCUUCAUGUGCGUGUGCAGUCACAGCAGCCCUUUGGGGCAGAACUUGACAGAUGACCCUGAGAUGCGAAGGUUAAGUGACUCACUCAAGACUUCAGUGCUGUGACCUGAACCCAGCUGGCUGUUGCCUUCACUGUGGCAUUACACGCCUCUUCCAUCACUCUGCUGGCUUUAAUGGAGAAGUGAUGUCAGGCUUUAAAAUUUUUCUGUCCCUUAUAGUCAUUGCUGAAAGAAUCCUGAACUCAAUCCAGAAGGUUCUUUUCCCAAGUGUAAGAGGAGGGCAGUGGGCUGCUCCAUGCAGCAUCCAUAAUAUCUUGGUUCUUUCUGUCCUUCCCCUUCAUCCCCUCUGUCCUCCCCCACUCCCUCUGUUGCUAAGUUUUGUCUCUUUCCUUCUAGUUCAUUGGCUUCAGUCUUAGGGAUGAGAUGAUGUUGUGACCUCAGCACUGACACAUGAUCUGACCUUGUCAGGAGUAGUGGCUAGACUAAGUGUCUCUGAAUCCGCAAGGUUGGAGUAGGGAGUAAAAUGCUGACUGGUAAGCAUCCAAAUGGAAAAGUCCAUUGCUCCAGUGAGGAAUUGGAUGGCCUAGGAUGGGAGGCAAUGCAGAAACACACACAGGAAGUAAGCCACCUUGAAAACUGCAGCAAAGGGAGAGCUCUCAUUAAGGACACAGACACCACAUUUAUAGUGAAAAGGUUGGUUUUUGUUUUAUAUAUAUAUAUAUAUAUAUAUAUAUAUAUAUAUAUAUAUAUAUAUAUAUAUUCUCUUGGGGAGUGAAUCUUGCUCAGAAUAUGACAGCUGCUAUAAGCAUUGGGUCAGCAAUGCUCGAUACAGUUUCCUCACUUCUAGACAAGUCACUUCCAAUUAAGCAUCUAACAACGGCUUUUCCACAUAAAAAUCUUAGCCACCUGUAAGACAGCAGCAGAGGUUUAUUUUCUUCACGUCAGUCUGUGGUAUUCAUUAUCAGUUAAAGGUCCCUUUCUGGUUUUCUGCUGUGUCACCCUGUGGUCUUGUGAGAGGGUGCUUGCAGGAGUCUUCCUUUCUGCGGAACGGAGCCACUGCCUCCCGCCCACUGUAACACAGGUUUCAGGUUUUGUUUGUUUGACUUUUCUUUCGACAAGAGGACCUUUCAUGGCUUGCAGGAAAACACUUGCUGAUCACUUUAGUUGAACAAAGUGCUUAGAUACCAGAAGGCACUGGGAAGAUAAAGAUGACAGAGACAACAGUUCUGCCCUUUAAGGGCUUAGAGCCAGAAGCAGGUGGGCAAUCGUCUGCGUUUAGUACACCGGGGUUUUCACAGCUGUAAAAGCACUGAGGGGUGGAGCACCAUGCCAGAGAUCAAGGGAAGGCUUUCAAAGCCAGAUCUGGAGAGAGGAGAGGCAAUGGAGCAUGUGUGUAGCUAAGCAAGAAGACAUCCCCGGCCAGGAGUGGCCUGGAUGCACAUGGGUGGAUCCCAAGUGCAGGAGAUGUUAGCCAGCAGGGCAUAGUAAUGGAGGAGGGAGGCUGGAACUAGGGGGCUGGGUAGGGGAAGGGAUUGUGCUCCUUCAUUCUUUCCUAGGCUCCUUGUUAGCCAGGAAGGCUCAAGGGAGCUUUAUCACAUGAAGAAUGGACUGAAUUUUCCCCCUUCCCCUAUCAAGCUGGUUGUCCCAGCACUGUUUAUUACAAGUGCUAGCUUUGCCCCAUGGAGUUGGCAUCAUGGGGUUUCCAUCUUCCUGUGUCUCUGGCUCCGUUUUAGGACUUUACCUUUUCUGUAGUGAUCUGGUUGGCUACUAGGUGUUACAGCGACGCUGUAUUGUGCUUUGGUUGGGCUGGUUCUCUUCAGGGCUUCUCUUUUGAUGUUUUCUUAAUUAUUUUUGUGUAUUUUUUACUUACUUAAAAUUUUAUGUGUGUAGGUAUUUUAACUGCUUGUAUGUCAGGGCACCUAGUAUAUGCCUGAUACUUAUGGAGGCCCCAAGAGGUUGCUGGAUGCCCUGGAAUUGGAGUUACCAAUGUUUGUGAGCUACCAUGUGGUUGCUGGUAAUCAAACACUGGUCCUUUGGAAGAACAGUAAAUAUUCUUAACCUCUAAGCCAUCUAUCCUUCUUGUCUGUCGGCCAGUCUGUCUGUCUGUCUGUCUGUCUGUCUGUCUAUCUAUAGACAGGAUUUCAUGUAUCCCAGGCUGAGUUCAAAUUGGCUGUGUAGCCAAAGAUGACUUUGAACUUCGGAUUCUCCAGCCUUUCUCUCCUUAGUACUGGAACUAUAAGUAUGUGCCAGUUCUAUGUGAUGAUACUGGGGACUCUUCAUGCCUGCUAGGCAAACACUACCCAGGGUCACCUUUUAUCAUUAAAUUCUUGAUUUAAUUCUUGAUACCCUGAGGGUAUGAGGGUAGGGUGUUUGGAAAGCGAUGGGUCUCUAGGUUGCUGCCUCCUCUGUGAUGUGAACAUGGCCGCAGCAAUGCAGAUGAUAAGGUGUCUCACAUCUUUCAAGUGUGUUGGACCUCAGAGGAACAGUUGCUAGCCCACACUCUCACUGUAGAAUAAACUGAAUCAAAUCUAACUCUCACAGGGAGAAGCAGUGACUUAAGAAUACCUAUAUUUACAGUAUUUUGGUGGCUUAGGAUGUUACGCUGUUCAGAAUGAAAUGUUUGGGUGUCCUUUUAAGAAACUUCUUAAAGGUAAGUGAGAUCACGGGGUGGCUACACGAUACAGAUUAACAGGCUGAUAAGGCUUCAGGCACAAGUCACAAAGUGAAAGGUGUCCUUAGCACAGAUCCAAUAGGUGAUCAAGAUGUGUGCUCUGACUCUAACGCGGUUCAGAAUCUGUUGUUGAGAUUCUCUCAAUGCUCAGCCUGCUGUGCUGGGCCUUGCUGCCCUUCCUGUGCCCCAUGUCCUCUCUGUCUGUGUGCUCUAUCACAAGGUGAUGUUGUCUUCCAGGGUAGCAGGGACAUAGAGCAUCAUCUUCAUCCUUACUGGUGUCUGCCAACUGUUUGCUCCAUUCCACUUCUUGAAACCAUUCAGCACACACAUGACUUUCUUGAACCCCAAAUACUUGUGCUAAUGUGCUUUUGCAUGUGAGUUAGGAGAGAGUAAGUUAUUUUCCAAAUGAGAACAGGAUUCACAUACAUUAUGCUAGCCACGAAUUACUCUCCUGAUACAAGAAUUCUGAGGAAUGUAAGUGUGGUGAGAAUUCAUGCCUCUGGGUUCACUUCUGGAGGUUUUUGUAGCACUGUAGGAUAACAUCACUGGAGAUCCACGUGCCUGACCAAUGAAUGCGUGCCAUUUUGUGUUCUUGUUUGAUGAGUAGUUCAUAUCCUUUUAUGUACAAUUUCCUCAAUUAUAACUGUGAUGUAGUUAAAGAGAAGGAAAGGAAUGAAAAUACUUUGAAAUUUUCUGUUCUUUUUUUUAAAUUGUAGAGAUGUCCUCAUGAACAUUUUCCAUCAAUAUUUUUUGCAGUGUAUGUGUGAUAUGAUUGAAGCAUACUAUAUAUGUGAAUAAAAAUAUUGGAAAGAAACCCA